GGGAGCGGAUAGGGUCUGGUGGCUCUUGCGGACUUCAAAUCCGUGGGCGGACAUCCCCGCGAUGGCCGCGGUGGGUUCGAUUCCCACCCCUCCCGCCA
Molecule: transfer RNA, 98 nt
Filed under: Nitrospirota bacterium
Lineage: Bacteria; Pseudomonadati; Nitrospirota
Description: tRNA-Sec
Rfam family: Selenocysteine transfer RNA
Source: RNAcentral